Lotus japonicus is the source of this 746-nucleotide long non-coding RNA. RefSeq lists it as uncharacterized. The transcript has 3 exons. Lineage: Eukaryota; Viridiplantae; Streptophyta; Magnoliopsida; Fabales; Fabaceae. The record is from RefSeq and is a predicted model, not a curated record.
CGUUCUCCAAUUUGGGCUACUGUGACUCUCUAUGCAUGCUUCAUUCCUCAAUUAGGGUUUUUCUUCUUCUUCCAGAUCAACACCACCAUGAACUUGAACAUCUUCAAGAAGAAAACCUCAUCCAAAGGAUAGCUAAUCAUGUCUCUUGUGCUCAUUGAAGAAGUUGAUAAUGUGGCUGAAGGGGAUCAUAUCAAGGUGGAUAAUGUGAACAAAAAUCAUUGGGUUCAGGUACAAUUAAAGGGUGACCAUCCAAUCCUACGAACUGCUCACCAAUGGAGAUAUCAUCGUGACUCAGAUGUAGUGGGGUGGGAGACCUCUUACAAGGGGCGAAUGACUCAAUAUCAAAAAGAACUAGAAGGACAAAAUUGCACAAAAGAACUAGACUCAUUUUGGUGCAUAAAGGAGGGUGGGGGAUUAAUUGAGGGGGUGUUAAAACUAAUGCCCUUUUAUUAUUCUCAUCAUUUCUAAAUUAAAAUCUCAAAUUUACCUCAAUCUCAACAAUGAAAGAUCUUGAAACCCAUAAAUAGAAGAAACUCAACUCCGUCUUACUUAUUUUCUCUCCCUUCGGUUGUUCCCAUCUCCCUCUCCUUUGUUCCCUUUCUUUGUGGGCUUCUAAAACCAAGAAACUAACUCUCCCUCUCACCUUCUCUAGAAAUCCCUAGAAACAAGAUUCAAUCAAUAAAUUGAUAUCGGAUGACAAUAGAGAUGUUGAGACUGCCUCAACAACAAUGAGUUUUGUGCACAUU